This 79-nucleotide transfer RNA is filed under the name Podarcis lilfordi (Lilford's wall lizard). RNAcentral describes it as "tRNA.Thr". The stretch from base 9 to 73 matches the Rfam family "tRNA". Rfam says of the family: Transfer RNA (tRNA) molecules are approximately 80 nucleotides in length. Their secondary structure includes four short double-helical elements and three loops (D, anti-codon, and T loops). The record is from RNAcentral. Lineage: Eukaryota; Metazoa; Chordata; Lepidosauria; Squamata; Lacertidae.
GCCAGUGUGGUGUAGUGGUUAAGAACAGUGGACUGGUAAUCUGGUGACCCGGGUUCGAUUCCCUGCUCCUCCACAUGCA